UGGUGGAGUGAUUUGUCUGCUUAAUUGCGAUAACGAGCGAGACCUUACUCUGCUAAAUAGCCCGGCUAGCUUUGGCUGGUCGCCGGCUUCUUAGAGAGACUAUCAACUCAAGUUGAUGGAAGUUUGAGGCAAUAACA
This 137-nucleotide ribosomal RNA is filed under the name uncultured eukaryote. RNAcentral describes it as "partial 18S ribosomal RNA". It matches the Rfam family "Eukaryotic small subunit ribosomal RNA", at positions 1299 to 1458 of the family's 1831-position model. The record is from RNAcentral.